UGGCAGAAUGUACUUGGAAUCAAUACAAAUCGUGAGAAAGAAGGAAAUAAAGAUCUUAAUCAUUUUGCAUUGGCUUUGAAUCUGAUUUCCGACCUCCAGGUGGACCCAAUAAAAUCGUAUGCCCCGAAAAUCUUGCAAAACUGACAAAAGAAAACGAAACGUGACAUGUCAAGAGACGGCGCCCCCAGCUCUUCCUUUUAGUGCUUUUGGACCAGGUGAUGUCACUACACGUCUUGCUGGAGACUUUCCCAGACCUUCAAGGAGGGAGAGGAAAACUUCUUCGAACAACAGUUAGGGGAGGGGAGAGAAAGUUGGACAAGGAGAACACCAGGACUAUUGCUUUCCUCCCGCAACUAAACCUCAAGGAUUGCCGUUGAGAGACUGUGGAUUCCAGCAAGAUUGCGCGCACAUCGUACCAUCUGCGCUUUGGGAGAUAAUCGUUGGAUUCAUGUGGUCUUAACCUGAAGGAACUAUCGAUUACCUUAGGUUGGAACAGAGGGAGGUCAUCAUGUGGCCGCUGCUGCUGCUGUUUCCUGCCUGCUUGAGCUGCUUGAGUGGCCUGGUGUCCGCUGAGGAUGUGCGAUGCCCCUCUCUACAGGUGGAGGCCUGGAAGUUUCCGCAGACCCCCCGGGACCUCAUCACAGGUUUUAAUCUGGUGCGCCGCUUCUCUCUGGUAAAGAACGCCGAGGUGAAGAAGAUCCGCAACCCGCGAGGACCCCUCAUCAUGCGCCUGGGCAAGGUGUCUCUCACACAACCCACCGAGUAAGACAUCCUCUCUUUAUCUCUCUACCUCUCUCUGACUUUAUCACUCUACCUCUCUCUGACUUUAUCACUCUACCUCUCUCUCUCCAUCUCUUUUGAUCUUUUUUAUGUCUGUAUGUCUGACUGCCUGUCUGUCUGUUUCUCUGUUGAUCUAUUUUCUGUCUGUCUGCCUCAAUGAUCUAUUUCCUGUCUGUCUGUCUGCCCUUCCUUCCUUCCAUCCAUCCAUCCAUCCAUCAUUCAUAUGCCUCUUCAUCUAUCUAUUUCCCCUACCUGUUUUGUUCUCACCUCUGCCCUCAAACCUCCCUGUCUCUUAAUUUAUUCAGAGGGACCUCUCUCUCAACUUUCAACUCCCUACAGUGCCUG
Long non-coding RNA from Clupea harengus (Atlantic herring), 1125 nucleotides. The record is from Ensembl. Lineage: Eukaryota; Metazoa; Chordata; Actinopteri; Clupeiformes; Clupeidae.